AGUCGAACGCUGAAGCACCAGCUUGCUGGUGUGGAUGAGUGGCGAACGGGUGAGUAAUACGUGAGUAACCUGCCCUUGACUCUGGGAUAAGCCCGGGAAACUGGGUCUAAUACUGGAUGCUACAUGUCACCGCAUGGUGGUGUGUGGAAAGGGUUUACUGGUCUUGGAUGGGCUCACGGCCUAUCAGCUUGUUGGUGAGGUAAUGGCUCACCAAGGCGACGACGGGUAGCCGGCCUGAGAGGGUGACCGGCCACACUGGGACUGAGACACGGCCCAGACUCCUACGGGAGGCAGCAGUGGGGAAUAUUGCACAAUGGGCGAAAGCCUGAUGCAGCGACGCCGCGUGAGGGAUGACGGCCUUCGGGUUGUAAACC
This 374-nucleotide ribosomal RNA is filed under the name bacterium Urfm73. RNAcentral's name for it is "bacterial SSU rRNA". It matches the Rfam family "Bacterial small subunit ribosomal RNA", at positions 60 to 431 of the family's 1533-position model. The record is from RNAcentral.